This 556-nucleotide ribosomal RNA is filed under the name uncultured Agrobacterium sp. Its description in RNAcentral is "bacterial SSU rRNA". It matches the Rfam family "Bacterial small subunit ribosomal RNA", at positions 339 to 916 of the family's 1533-position model. The record is from RNAcentral. Lineage: Bacteria; Pseudomonadati; Pseudomonadota; Alphaproteobacteria; Hyphomicrobiales; Rhizobiaceae.
CUACGGGAGGCAGCAGUGGGGAAUAUUGGACAAUGGGCGCAAGCCUGAUCCAGCCAUGCCGCGUGAGUGAUGAAGGCCUUAGGGUUGUAAAGCUCUUUCAGCGAGGAGGAUAAUGACGUUACUCGCAGAAGAAGCCCCGGCUAACUUCGUGCCAGCAGCCGCGGUAAUACGAAGGGGGCUAGCGUUGUUCGGAAUCACUGGGCGUAAAGCGCACGUAGGCGGACUUUUAAGUCAGGGGUGAAAUCCCGGGGCUCAACCCCGGAACUGCCUUUGAUACUGGAAGUCUCGAGGCCGAGAGAGGUGAGUGGAACUCCGAGUGUAGAGGUGAAAUUCGUAGAUAUUCGGAAGAACACCAGUGGCGAAGGCGGCUCACUGGCUCGGUACUGACGCUGAGGUGCGAAACGUGGGGAGCAAACAGGAUUAGAUACCCUGGUAGUCCACGCCGUAAACGAUGGAAGCUAGCCGUCAGUAGCAUGCUAUUUGGUGGCGCAGUAACGCAUUAAGCUUCCCGCCUGGGGAGUACGGUCGCAAGAUUAAAACUCAAAGGAAUUGACGG